CGCCAACCGUUGGGGUGCCCGGUUUCGCGGGCUGAGAGGCGCAGCAGCGUCAACCCAUCGAACCUGAUCCGGGCAAUACCGGCGGAGGGAACGGUCUUACAUCGCUC
This 107-nucleotide non-coding RNA is filed under the name Ruegeria marisrubri. RNAcentral describes it as "Ruegeria sp. ZGT118 TPP riboswitch aptamer (THI element)". It matches the Rfam family "TPP riboswitch aptamer (THI element)". Rfam says of the family: Vitamin B(1) in its active form thiamin pyrophosphate (TPP) is an essential coenzyme that is synthesised by coupling of pyrimidine and thiazole moieties in bacteria. The previously detected thiamin-regulatory element, thi box was extended, resulting in a new, highly conserved RNA secondary structure, the THI element, which is widely distributed in eubacteria and also occurs in some archaea. Analysis of operon structures identified a large number of new candidate thiamin-regulated genes, mostly transporters, in various prokaryotic organisms. Lineage: Bacteria; Pseudomonadati; Pseudomonadota; Alphaproteobacteria; Rhodobacterales; Roseobacteraceae. RNAcentral also lists the same sequence under 1 other name. The record is from Rfam by way of RNAcentral.